This is an RNA transcript of Oryza brachyantha (malo sina), 1865 nucleotides long. RefSeq lists it as uncharacterized. The record is from RefSeq and is a predicted model, not a curated record. NCBI's taxonomy places the organism in Eukaryota, Viridiplantae, Streptophyta, Magnoliopsida, Poales, Poaceae. The transcript is spliced from 2 exons.
AUAUGCUAUCCACUCCAAUACUACAAUCUUGCAAAAAAAAAAUCUAGGACUAAAAUCUAAACUAAUCUCCAAAGAAUAAAGGAGGGAGAUAUAUAUUGGUUAGCCAAGUGAUAGGUGGAGAAGAGAGGUAAAGGCAGAGUCUUUGUGAAGUGAUCAUGAAGCCGCGUCCAUCUCCGGCGCCGGCGACUUCCGGCAUGCUGGCCAGGCUCCGGCCGCAUCUCACGCGGCUCACCGUAUUUCUGAUCGUCUUCUCCGUCGGGUACUCGGUUGGCAUCAUGUCGUCGUCGUCCAUCCGGCCGUCUCCGAAGCCGUCGCAGACGGUCAUACGGCCGCACGCCGCGCACCUCACUGCCUCCACGGCUGUCCCGGCGACGAACGGCAGCGCCGCGGCCGCGGCGAACUACCCGCGCUCGCCGCCGCACGAUCUGUUCCGGUUCAGGGAGGAGUGCGCGGAAGCGAUACCGAGCGACGCCGUCGUGCGGACUCUUCUUGACAAGCUGUUCGACGGGGAGAGCCCGUACGACAGCUUCCCGCCGCCGCACACCGCGGCGCUGCUGCACCCGGCGAAGGAGAGGCCGCGUGGGUGGGGGUCCACCGGCGCGGUGUUCGCGGAGCUGAUCGAGGAGGUGCGCCCCGACGUCAUCGUCGAGCUCGGCGCCUUCCUGGGCGCCUCGGCGCUGCACAUGGCGGCGGUGUCCAAGAACCUCUCGCUGUCGCCGGCCAUCCUCUGCGUGGACGACUUCCGCGGCUGGCCGGCGUUCCGCGACCGGUUCCGCCGCGACGUCCCGCCGCCGCGGCACGGCGACGCGCUGCUGCUGCCGCAGUUCAUGUCCAACGUGGCCGCGGCGGGGCCCGACGCCACGGCGCGGGUGCUCCCGCUCCCCUUCUCCACGGCGUCCGCGCUCGCCGCGCUGUGCCAGUGGGGCAUCUACGCCGACCUCAUCGAGGUGGACGCCGGCCACGACUUCCACUCGGCGUGGGCGGACAUCAACCUGGCCUGGGCCGUGCUCCGCCCCGGCGGCGUCAUGUUCGGCCACGACUACUUCACCGCCGCCGACGACCGCGGCGUCCGGCGCGCGGUGACGCUGUUCGCGAGAGUAAAAGGCCUCACCGUCCGGCCACACAGCCAGCACUGGGUCCUCUCCCCGAAGCCGCUCCACCGCGACGGCCGGUGACUCCUCGCCGGCGCGCACACGGCAAAAAAAAAGCUCUCAUUCUCACAGUGCGCCUGUCGCCGUCGCCGGCGGGGCCACGCACUCGGCGACGUCGGCGUCCACCGCCCGCUGCGUGGAAAGCUCGGGAUCCACACGUGUUCGUCCCAAACUCUCAACCACCACCCUCUCUCCAGCUCCAUUCUUACACAAGAAUCAACUCAACAACACUCUCCUCUGUAUUCUCAAUUUAUAUACUAUAGAUACCAAAUUUAUACACACGAUCUUAUACGUUCAUCAGGUGAGAUUACGACAUUGAAGUGUCGAGUGUGUGUGUGCAGUGCUAGCAAGCUAGUGACCAAGAGCAAAGAUGGCGAUUCCAGUUGGUGGCGAUGGUUGUGAGGUGACAGUGAUGUUUGGUGGCUAGUGGAGCAGGGAGUGAUGCUGUUCGCGUACCGACCAGAGGAAGAAGAUGAUGAUCGGAAAGCCAUUGGAGGAGGAGAGCAAUGGAUGGAGAUGGCGAUAUGGGCACAGGAUAGAAGAGAGCUUUUUCUCUGAUUUAAGUUUUUACUCUGAUUUACGGCUUGUUUGAGCAAGCUUCUCUGCUAUAGUAUUUUCCAAAAGCUAUUUCUGUCAGAAGCUAUUUCAAACGGUUCACAACUUAUAGAUUCUGAAAAAUAAACUAAGAAUUCAGAAACUGGAGAAGCUGGGUUU